GAUGAACGCUGACAGAAUGCUUAACACAUGCAAGUCAACUUGAAUUUGGGUUUUUAACUUAGGUUUGGGUGGCGGACGGGUGAGUAACGCGUAAAGAACUUGCCUCACAGCUAGGGACAACAUUUGGAAACGAAUGCUAAUACCUAAUAUUAUGAUAAUAGGGCAUCCUAUAAUUAUGAAAGCUAUAAGCGCUGUGAGAGAGCUUUGCGUCCCAUUAGCUAGUUGGAGAGGCAACGGCUCACCAAGGCGAUGAUGGGUAGCCGGCCUGAGAGGGUGAUCGGCCACAAGGGGACUGAGACACGGCCCUUACUCCUACGGGAGGCAGCAGUGGGGAAUAUUGGACAAUGGACCGAGAGUCUGAUCCAGCAAUUCUGUGUGCACGAUGAAGUUUUUCGGAAUGUAAAGUGCUUUCAGUUGGGAAGAAACAAAUGACGGUACCAACAGAAGAAGUGACGGCUAAAUACGUG
Molecule: ribosomal RNA, 467 nt
Filed under: uncultured bacterium
Lineage: Bacteria
Description: partial 16S ribosomal RNA
Rfam family: Bacterial small subunit ribosomal RNA
Source: RNAcentral